UAUUAUUAUUGUUUUCUUGGUUUUAUUUCCACUCUUCAGGAGCCAGGAGUGUCUGGAACAAGGCAGCAAAACUUGCUCGGUUUAGACAAAGCAGUGUGACAGUCCCACCUAACAACAGCUAUGCUACUGGGAAUGCAGACAAAGGUGUCACCGUGAUUAAUGGGGCACUCAUCUGAGCACCGCAUCCAGGAGCACAGGUUGCACCUCACCCUGGUGGCCUGACUUUUGCAGGCUUUGUCUGACGUGAGCCCUGCUCAGGAACGGCUGGAAGGAAUUUAAGGACAGAGGCAAAAAGCAUGGAGCUUAGCCUCAGACUCCCCCAGGAAGGGAAGGACGUGCAUCCUGCCUGUCCUGUGCAUACGGUGCUCCUCUCCAUGGAUUCUUUCCAAGGUGUUGGUCUCCAGAAUGCUCCUGGCCCUGCUCUUUUUGGAAGCAAUGGUGAGACAUCUGUCAGUGUGAGCCCGCAGAGGGAAGCUGAGGUCUGCUCAUGGCGCUAGGAUCCAGUAACUCUUCCUGUUAGAAUGUGUUGCUUGGAUGUGAAGAGAUGCUAUUGA
Molecule: long non-coding RNA, 554 nt
Filed under: Phasianus colchicus (ring-necked pheasant)
Lineage: Eukaryota; Metazoa; Chordata; Aves; Galliformes; Phasianidae
Description: lncRNA (ENSPCLG00000008463.1)
Source: RNAcentral